Molecule: non-coding RNA, 73 nt
Organism: Pangasianodon gigas (Mekong giant catfish)
Lineage: Eukaryota; Metazoa; Chordata; Actinopteri; Siluriformes; Pangasiidae
Source: the annotation of a GenBank genome assembly
CUUCCUCACUGAAAACCAGGGUCAGAUUUACAGCAUCACAUCACCACAUCAACUUUCUAGAAUCAUAUCGUCA